RNAcentral lists this ribosomal RNA (253 nucleotides) under uncultured bacterium. RNAcentral describes it as "partial 16S ribosomal RNA". It matches the Rfam family "Bacterial small subunit ribosomal RNA", at positions 524 to 776 of the family's 1533-position model. The record is from RNAcentral.
UACGUAGGUGGCAAGCGUUGUCCGGAUUUACUGGGCGUAAAGAGCGCGCAGGCGGUCGUUCAAGUCGCGUGUGAAAGCCCCCGGCUCAACUGGGGAGGGUCACGCGAUACUGAUCGACUCGAAGGCAGGAGAGAGAAGUGGAAUUCCCGGUGUAGUGGUGAAAUGCGUAGAUAUCGGGAGGAACACCAGUGGCGAAGGCGACUUCCUGGCCUGUUCUUGACGCUGAGGCGCGAAAGCUAGGGGAGCAAACGGG